Molecule: ribosomal RNA, 855 nt
Filed under: Triticum aestivum (bread wheat)
Lineage: Eukaryota; Viridiplantae; Streptophyta; Magnoliopsida; Poales; Poaceae
Description: partial small subunit ribosomal RNA
Source: RNAcentral
AUGGAGGUGAGGACAGUAAAAGUUGGCAAUAUUUCAUUGAGUGCCUCAAAAAGGGAGAUCACAGAGUUCUUUUCUUUCUCUGGUGAUAUAGAAUAUGUUGAAAUGCAAAGUGAAACUGAUUGGUCACAACUUGCGUACGUCACAUUUAAGGACUCACAAGGAGCAGACACUGCUGUGCUUCUCUCAGGAGCAACGAUUGUUGAUCUUUCUGUCAUCAUAACUCCAGUUGAGAACUAUCAGUUGCCUCCUGAAGCCCACAAACAAUUACCGGGAGAGAAUUCUCCCUCUGCUGAAUCUGCAGUCAGGAAGGCGGAGGAUGUUGUGAGCAGCAUGAUGGCCAAGGGUUUUGUCCUCAGCAAGGACGCACUCAACAUGGCAAGGUCUUUCGACGAGCGUCACAACAUCAUGUCCACCGCCACCGCCACUGUCGUGUCUCUAGAUCACCAGUACGGCCUGAGCGAGAAGAUCAGCCUGGGCCGGGCGGUCGUCGGCAGCAAGGUCAAGGAGGUGGACGAGCGGUACCAGGUGUCGGAGCUCACAAGGUCCGCCCUGGCCGCCGCCGAGCAGAAGGCCAGCGUCGCAGGCUCGGCUCUCAUGGGCAACCAGUACGUCUCAGCCGGCGCCUCCUGGCUUACCAGCGCGUUCGGCAUGGUGACCAAAGCGGCGGGCGACAUGGGCUCCAUGGCCAAGGACAAGGUCGACAAGGCCGAGGAGGAGAGGAAGGCCAUCAUGUGGGAAGAGAGGAACGGGCUGGUGAGCGAGUAUGCGAAGAUCCAUCUGGACGAGCACUCCUCGUGGGAGCCCGCGGUUCUUCCCGUGGAAUCGAUGGACGAGCAGAAGCUCCAGGCCGUGUGA